GCCAGCUAUAUCGUGGUGUAUUUUCCCCCUCCUAAGGGGAUGGUCAUACGUUCGAUUCGUGUCGGGGGCGCCA
Molecule: transfer RNA, 73 nt
Filed under: Sulfuriferula sp.
Lineage: Bacteria; Pseudomonadati; Pseudomonadota; Betaproteobacteria; Nitrosomonadales; Sulfuricellaceae
Description: tRNA-Arg
Source: RNAcentral